GACGAACGCUGGCGGCGUGCUUAACACAUGCAAGUCGAACGCUGAAGCACCAGCUUGCUGGUGUGGAUGAGUGGCGAACGGGUGAGUAAUACGUGAGUAACCUGCCCUUGACUCUGGGAUAAGCCCGGGAAACUGGGUCUAAUACUGGAUGCUACAUGUCACCGCAUGGUGGUGUGUGGAAAGGGUUUACUGGUCUUGGAUGGGCUCACGGCCUAUCAGCUUGUUGGUGAGGUAAUGGCUCACCAAGGCGACGACGGGUAGCCGGCCUGAGAGGGUGACCGGCCACACUGGGACUGAGACACGGCCCAGACUCCUACGGGAGGCAGCAGUGGGGAAUAUUGCACAAUGGGCGAAAGCCUGAUGCAGCGACGCCGCGUGAGGGAUGACGGCCUUCGCGUUGUAAACCUCUUUCAGCAGGGAAGAAGCCACAAGUGACGGUACCUGCAGAAGAAGCGCCGGCUAACUACGUG
RNAcentral lists this ribosomal RNA (470 nucleotides) under uncultured bacterium. RNAcentral describes it as "partial 16S ribosomal RNA". It matches the Rfam family "Bacterial small subunit ribosomal RNA", at positions 28 to 507 of the family's 1533-position model. The record is from RNAcentral.